This 249-nucleotide ribosomal RNA is filed under the name Triticum aestivum (bread wheat). RNAcentral describes it as "partial small subunit ribosomal RNA". The record is from RNAcentral. Lineage: Eukaryota; Viridiplantae; Streptophyta; Magnoliopsida; Poales; Poaceae.
AUGGCAGCCACCAGCGACAAACGCCGGAAGGAUGUACCCGUACUCGAGCACGGACUCGAGCACAACGGCGACAUACGCCUCCUCCCAACGUCAACCGCACGCUCGUACGCGCGCCCGCGGUCCCCGAUGCUUCCAGUGCGCACCCAUAACACGCACCGGUCGCGCCCGGCUCGCCGUGACGGCUUAUUGCCCUGCAAUGCUGCGGCCUCAACCGCAGCACAUCACCUCCAUGCCGCUGUGUGUCGUUGA